AUUUAAUCCCGGAAAAUAAUUCCUUAACCCUCGUACCAAACGAGUCAAGGAACAACAUAUACUGAGAACAUUUUCCACAGCUAAUUAAGGGUAUUUUAACCAAAAAUAUAACCAAGUUCAUCUGCCACUAACCAAAUACUACAAAAUAGGACAUAACUAAGUUCAUCUGCCACUAACCAAAUACUACAAAAUAGGAUAUAACUAAGUUCAUCUGCCACUAACCAAAUACUACAAAAUA
This 238-nucleotide long non-coding RNA is filed under the name Nicotiana benthamiana. RNAcentral describes it as "long non-coding RNA (NBEN_LNC008991)". Lineage: Eukaryota; Viridiplantae; Streptophyta; Magnoliopsida; Solanales; Solanaceae. The record is from RNAcentral.